This is a small nuclear RNA of Formica exsecta, 119 nucleotides long. RefSeq annotates it as U4 spliceosomal RNA. The transcript has a single exon. The record is from RefSeq and is a predicted model, not a curated record. NCBI's taxonomy places the organism in Eukaryota, Metazoa, Arthropoda, Insecta, Hymenoptera, Formicidae.
AGCUUUGCGCAGUGGCGAUAUCGUAACCAAUGAGGUUCUACCGAGGUGCGAUUAUUGCUAGUUGAAAACUUUUACCAAUGACUAAUGUAACGUUACAUUUUCGCGAUGCGAUUCGAUGU